UAGGGAAUCUUCCACAAUGGACGAAAGUCUGAUGGAGCAACGCCGCGAGAGUGAAGAAGGUUUUCGGAUCGUAAAGCUCUGUUGUUGGUGAAGAAGGAUAGAGGCAGUAACUGGUCUUUAUUUGACGGUAAUCAACCAGAAAGUCACGGCUAACUACGUGCCAC
Molecule: ribosomal RNA, 164 nt
Filed under: uncultured bacterium
Lineage: Bacteria
Description: partial 16S rRNA
Rfam family: Bacterial small subunit ribosomal RNA
Source: RNAcentral